Molecule: long non-coding RNA, 9750 nt
Organism: Hylaeus volcanicus
Lineage: Eukaryota; Metazoa; Arthropoda; Insecta; Hymenoptera; Colletidae
Exons: 3
Source: RefSeq, a predicted model, not a curated record
AGUGUUACGAGAAUUCAAUUCUUUCUUUUUAUUGCAGUUAUCGUAAAACGAAAUAAUUUUUUAUUCUUCUGGAUGUCCUUUGUAGAAUAGAUAUACUAUGAACAACUAUGCUCUCCCAAAAACCACGCUGUCCCCAGUCUGCAAAAACUCGUUGCCUAAUCGGUCCAGCCUAGGGACCUCUCCUCGUUAGUAUUCCAGCCGUGAGCUGGGAAGGGCGUGAAAAUUCCGCUCGGUGCUAUAGUCAUAGGGGAAAGUAGAUAACUUUCGAGCCGAGAGAGUCGCCAGUGAGGUUGCCGGCGAAUGAAGGCUGUUCUGUGUUUCGCGGCUGGCUGCAAUCGGCGAUAUCGGCGCGCCGGGCUCAUUGACGCAAUUUAUAGGAAAAGAUUGCCGAGGAAAAUGCCAGCCAUGCCCCCCACGCUCGCCACGCUCUGGAUACCCGUAGUUCUGUGUAUCAAACGGCGAACGAUAUGUAGGUCUCGAGACGUCCGAUGACCCGUUACUUGCCAGAUAACCAACCAGAUACGAAUACCCUCUGUGCAAGUCGGCUUGGAAAUCAGCUCGCGGUCUGCAUCAUCGACGCCGACCUAUGGCGCGAACUCCCCGCCACCGACCGAUAGGUUUGCGCUAAUUCGUCAUUCAUGGAUCAUCAGCUUCUCCGACACCACGUGUAAUAGCCGGAGAUAUCUAGGCACCCCGUUUCAAGAGCUGACCGAUAACGUAACGGUCGACAUGUAACUUCGACUUCUAAAUAUACACGGAGAAUCUGGGCUCGAUAAUAACGGUUCAAAGUAACAUGUAAUCCGUAUCUCGCGGCCUCCCUUCGCGUCUCCGUCGCGUUUUAUCCGUUACCGGACCAAAUUCCGACGAUAUCGCCGGCAAAAAGUGCGCGACGACGGGAGAACGCGGGCACGAAAUUACUUUCGUGGAACUCUAGCCCGAACGUGUCCCACGGUUCAAAGUACCUCGAGACGAUCCCUCUUGGCCGGGCAGAGCCACAUAUGCGAACGUGACGGUACGUUUCUCUUCCUGGUCGAGACGAGGGUUACAGCAGCCCCCACCUGAACAUUUUUAUGAUAGUUGGGUACAGUUUUCGACAUCAGCAAUUCGGGGAUUCCCGACACUCGAGAAUAAACUCAACCGAUGGUAAUCGUCGACCAGCAUUCCUUGAAAGUCGGAACUGCUAGAUUUUCUAAUUGCCUCGCUUUCCGCGUCGAUAAAUUCUUCCUCGGUGCGCGCAGGCGACAUUCUAAAUACCACCGGGACACCCCGUGAUUUAAAGGUACACGUCGACAACUCGAGCCACCCACGCCCCGUUUUCUACGCUGUCGGCUACUCGAGCGGUCUAUUCGAUCGAGAGAGGGGGAACGAAGCGUGCAAGAAUAAAAAAAGAAAAAGCGGGGAAAAAAUCAGAGACCAUAACGCGUUAUUAUUCGACGGGCAAGUCCAAUUACGAGCCUCGGCGUGCGUAUCCGUUCUGUGGUCGCGUGAGUACACGGAUGCACUUGGAAACCAAGCCGCGAGAUACUACCUUGGAUAACAACCUACGCGAGAAUCGAAAUACGGCAGACGUAUCUGGGGGAUAGUAGCCAGGAAACGACCCGGUGACCAGACACCAUUAAGCCCAGCCCACUCGAGAUCCGCCCCCGCAACGAGAUGCACCGCGUCAUCGAUGGUGAACCGUCACAUCCGCGGUUCACUUCCACCAGCGGAUUGGCGCUGUCUACUAGGAUGCUAAAACAACCACGACAUUGCUCAUCUUGUACGUGAUUUUAUGACAUUUUUUUUUAUGUGCCAUGUGUUUCUUGCGAUUUUUUUUUUGUGCAGUAUAUGAAAAUGAUACGAUAUUCUAAAUUUGUAUUUACAGAACUCCGACGCCAUUAAAUUUUCGAAGAACCUCAACGAGAACCGAAGGGGAACAUUGCCAUGGGACGCCAGUCUGUUUCAAUUAGAAGUUUCGACCUAUAAAAAGCGAGCGAAUUAGAUGAGUUCUGUGUACCGCCACCAGGAAAGUUCUGCAACAGUAGUCGUUGCCAUCUUUUUCUCUCGGUCGAUUAACUCACGGAAAAUGCCAGUUACUCUCCGUUGUUACAUCCCGUCUCCUUCUCUUCCUCACCUUUCCCUACCGUUCUCUCCUCCCCCCCCCUCUCUCUCUCUCUCUCAGCUCGCACCCCCACUUCGCGAGCCAUUCCCUGUCACCGACAAGCUCUUUUCUUGCUUCUCCGUUCGAUCGACCACGGGAGAGUAGGCGAAUGCAGCGGCUGGCAUGCCGCCUCGGGAGAACGAAAUGCAAUAAGAGGAGAACCCAUCCAGCUGCCGGCAUCGAGGAGAGGAAAGGAGUGCCCGGUUGGGGCUCAGGAGCGCGGGAGGAACGUGAAAGAGGACCCCGUCCCGCCCCCCGUCGCCCGAUCAAUUUCGAAUUUCUAAUUAGCGGACGCGAUAUUUGCUCUUGGUUCCUUUCCAGCGACUUCGACGACGCUGGAUCGUUCUUUUCCAACGGUAUGCGCCUCACUUUCUCUGAUAAAGAAGUGAUACCGGACGAUGCAACCUCGCCGAUAAACCAAACGGAAGAAAAUAACUUUUUCUGUGGGUAGAAGUAGCAGUUAUCCGGCGAACUCGAGCGAGAAACUUCAGCGUUAAUUGUAGUUUAUUAAACGAAAAAUGUUUCAGUCAUCGGUGAGCAUGCGGGCCUCCUCAGACGAGCGGAAAUACUAAUUCCGCGUUAGAAGAUAGUACGUUGGAUUAGCAAAAAUAUUGCUCGCGGAAUAUACGGGUAAUUACAACGUGACGCGUUGGUGACGAAUAAAAAUUACGUACAAAGGUUAGCCUUGGAGGGAAAGUUGCAUCGGUGAAGUUCUGUUCUCCGUUCGAGGACGAUUUUGAGCGCGAUGCGUUGCAUAUUAAACGGUGGAAAAAGGCGAGUCGAGCGAAUCGGCGCUCGAAAAAGAAGAAAAAGGGACUCUUUGAUCGCCGCCUGAUGCCGGUCAACAUUCCAAAAUCAGGUUUUGCCAGUUUGACAUUUCGAUGCCCGACCUCCUAAUUCUUGGUGCAAGAGUCAAGGCAUCCUGGUUCGUCGACCAGACGUCGAGACGUUGAAAUAAGAGAACGGAUUCGUCGGGAAUCGCUCAAGGACGGUUGAAGUCGUAAGAAGAAAAAAAAAAAAUUCGUAUACCUUUUUCUACCUCGCAUAGAGAAUUAUUGCGUAAGGUAAUAGGUAAUUCAAUGUAACACCAGUUGGCAAACCAGAGACGGUUGCGAAUAAUUAAAUAUCAAUUCCUGCGGACGAACGGCCAGGCAGAUUCAAAGAAACGAGUUUCUAUGUGACAGAACCUGGUUGCAAGAUAAGAACAAGGAAAAAAAAUAUAAAAGGCAUUAGAUUAACAUUUCUUGCGUUACUUUUAUUCCGUGUCCCAUACAGGUUCCGCAUAAAUUAACCCUCGUACGGUGUCGUGACCUUUCAUGCAAAUCGAUGAACGUUGGGGAAUAAAGAAUGAAACUGGUAUAAAGUGCGCGGAAAAUAUUAAUCUAUUUUAGCGUAAGAAAGAUAAAUCAUUGCUGAUCGUUAAAAAAAAAAAGAAAGAAAGAAAGAAAAAAAAACGUUUCUGUUAUUGGAAUAUAUAAAAUUUAUAUGGCAAGAAGAACCAGAAUGGCUGCGUUUGGAAAGCGUAAGAGAACCGAGAGUAAAAGUCGUAGGAGGGACCAUAAACGCGAUCCUUUUGCCACCAUGUUAAUCAGCAGUCCCUUCCACGCGUUCGAACUUAAUGAAUGAAUGAAUGAAUUACGUCACAGACAGAGAUGCGCUUAUACGUGCAUGUGGAAUCUCCGGCGCAAAAAUAGGCGCCCACAUCUCCCAAGGGAAAGGCAUAAUUAUAGUCGCCUUGGUAAAGAGAGCCGGCACACCAGGGUACUGGAGAAUGUAACGAGGAAAAGAGAAAGAGAGCGAGAAAACGAUCGCUCGCAGAUUAUACUUGCGUAGAAUGUUAACUAAUACCUUCGAGAGAUGCCAAACCCACCUGCGUGCAAACCUGGUACUACGGGGCUGAAUUGUUUUGCAAUAACCAGAAGGACCGUUACGCAUUCGCGGUGAAACAGCUCUCGGUUAAUAUCAGAAAUGCAACCCACGUUACGGGUUGCAUGGAAAAUUCGUGUCCGCAUGCGCGAUCGGCGCAAAUGGGUUAAAGGAGUUGGCGCCUCCAGUCCGGUGUGAAAAUGAUACCGCGAAUUUUCGCGACGGUGCAUCACCUUUCUAGAAUCGACUUUCGCCCGAUUCGCUGAAGUCGAAACUCACAUUCGGCCGGUUGCCCAUAUCCCGCUGCACCCACUGAAUUCCAGAAUCGAGCGAGCCCACUCGAGGAGGCGAAACGACGACGAUGCAUACAUUUUUUAUGAGCAUUAUAGACGCCCGCGUUCCAGCGUGCGCGAUUUUCCUGGAAGCUUUAACCGUGGAAUUUGCAUGACGAACGGAACGAACUCUGCUUCGUCUCAUCGAUGGAAAAAGAACCCGGGGCGGGGUUGCGUGCAAAUACCGCGAGAAAAAAAAAAAGAUCCAGACGUAAGACGAGCCAUGGGUGUCUUCGUGAAUGUGUCCCAGGGAUCAGGAUCGUACCUAACGCGCCCGCACGCCUUCGGCUCGGCGAGGGUCUCGAUGAAAUCAUAGGAAACACCUAACCGGGAGAAAGUUACAACCAGUUUCAGCCAAGGUAAGCGCAUCUAAUUUCGAUACUAACCUGGGACAUUGACACUUUCAUUUUUUUCUUUUUUUUAUCUAUGUGACUAUUGACAGGUUGGCGAAGGCUUCUUUAUUUUAAAUAAACUGUGAAGAUUUUUUAUUUAUCGGCGAGACCAUCGACGCCUCACGCCAAGGUAAAAGGGUUAAAUGUCACACGAGGCGAGAACUCUAAUCGAUGAUUGUAUAAAAGUGUAGAAACUCUUCGUUUGGAAUAAUAUGUAAAUUUAACGAGGAAGUUACAAAAGCACCCGUUCAACGAAGCAACAAAAAAAAAAAAAAGGAAUCAUUGCAGACGCAUACUUUGCUUUCCAUCGUUUCAACGUAUGUAGUUGAAAGUAGGACUUCGCUCGGCCUUCGUCGUUGUAUUACGGAGUCGAUGAAGAUUCUUAAUAGGUCUGAUAGACACGUCCAACGAUUUCUAACUCGAUACUCUUAGGUGGAAUACGCUUUUGCUACCGACCAAAGGCUCGUUUCCAAGGAAUUGCGAACGAUCGCACGACGGAAUACGCAAUGCUUUUUCGACCGAUAAUUAACCGUAAGCGCGGUAAUACGUUUGUUUGUGCGAUUAACCGUUUAUCACGUUGCUAAAUAACAGAGAAAAUACAAGAAUUUAUUUACAAAAUUUGAUCCAGGAUUAAAACAAUAUUUUAUAGAGCAAAUCUAAUUUAUAUAGCAAAAACGACUAAAGGCUACAGAUCUUUAUAUGAACAUUUAAUGAAGUAUCACAAUUAAAAUUGUACAGCCAUCAAGAGCUAAUUGAAAUCCGUAAUCUAAAAUACAGUAAAUUCCAAAAUUUACAUCGCGAUUAUCUAUUAUUUUAAAUCCCACGUUAUCAGUCUCUAUAACACAGGAGUCGUAAAGGUUUCAGCGAAACCUCGUUACACGCAUCGCGUUGAAAACCGAGGAGCGUUAAAAUGCAGGUCUGAUUCCGUGGUCGAGCCUGGAUUACGAGAAAUUCCGAGAUCGUUCUUUCCGUACCGGGAAUCCCCCGUCCGAGUGUCAGCGCUCGCGGUUCAACUUAACACAGUACUUAUCGGCGUUUACGUAAUUAAAGGCGCUAAGCAACUGCAGUUGGCGCCACACCUGACGCGCUCGCGAGUACAGAUAACAUCGUCGGAUCAAAGAGUGUAAAGCGGCGCGGGAACGGCAGGAAAAAUGAAGCGAUACACAGACGGUCAUUAUCGCUGUCACGUCCACGGAAUCGUCACGCGUAACAUCCGACAACAAAAUUGCGCCAGGAAUGCACGAGGUAUUUUCCGCAUGUAUUAUGCAAAUAUUGGUACUCCGGUGCGAUAUUUCACGACACGAAAUACCCGUCAACGUGAUGCGCCGCACGAGUGAUAUUUCAAUCAACUUACGACGAGCGAUUCCCUCACAACCUUCCGACGAAAUUUUGACGUUUCCACAACAGUAGAGGCUGUUUAUAGUUUACGAAUGGAUGGAAAUUUUAUUUAGUUCCGGAUGUUCGGAGUAAUUAAAUUUUAUGUUGAUAAUUUACACGAAGACUUUGGACUUGGAGAAUCUAAAUAAAAUUUCCAUUCGUCAGUUAAGUAUUUUUUUUAUGGCGUUUUUACUUUGUAAAUAAAGCUUUGUUCUUGCCAAGGACUGAGAACGAAUAAAAAGAAUUUCAUGGAUUGUAUAACAAAUAGAAAGAAGUACGCGUAAAUGGAUAAACGAUGGGUGAAAGUGAUUAGACCAAAUGGAAUGCGGAAAACUAAUUCCAAGUACAAAAGGUACUCUGAUGAAACAAGAGAAGGUCUCUUCUACCAGGGAUGUUUCCGUUUAGCAACAUUCUUCUGCCACUGGUUACAAAUUAUAACCAAUUAUUACUCUCCCGUGCAAAGUAUGGUUUUUGCUCGGCUAGUUAAGUCUUUACAGCGCCAAAGAUUUAAGUGGUUUCAAGAUCCUUUGUGCAAAGGGAGGGUCCUCGACGAUGCAAACGAUGAAACACAUUAAUCUAUACUCCCAAGUAAUCGAUUAAAUCGCUUUAUUUAUAUGUAAUAACACGAUUAAGAUCAAAUCAUUACUAUAAAAAUACUUAAUUUGAUUUUAUGGUAGAUUACUAUAUCUUUUGGCCCAGUGUUCUCCUAUUAUAGAACGAAAAUCAAACAGUUUUCCUAGUCCUGCUGACACAUUUUAAAAAUGAAGUGAAACAAGAGGGAAGUGAAGGAAAUGGUCGAUUCGAAGGGAGGAUGCCAAAGGGGCACGGUGCCCGCGUAACACGGUACUGAGUAUCCCUCACCACGGCGAACGCGACUGCGGCGCGAAUGGCAAAAAGGCUUAACCGCAUUCCGGCGACCAUUUAAACCGCCGCGGCGGGGUCCCACGCUUGACCGCAACCAGCGACCGACCGACCGGCCGGCCGGCUAUCGAUUGACGUCACUUGGUACCGCAUGACCUUCGAGUUCCCGCGCGACUAACUGCGCAUGCUCAGACGAUCCUGCUCCGGCAUGCACCUGCACACGGAUCGUGGAUCCGCAGAGGCGUCCGUUAAAAUGCGUGGCGAAACGGCACAAUUUUCCUCGACCAGACGCUACUGUACGGCCCAAGCGAAUUAUGCGACUCGCGCCAAAUCACUUCUCCCCGGAAUCCCUAUAGUUAGACCCAGCGAACGAGGCAUGCGACGGAAAAUCUACCAACACCAGGAGGAUGCGCGACGUGCCCUGAAAAUGCUCGCGGAACGGCUGGAAACCUAAUCGCGAGCUGCGCGGAUGAGACAAUCUAACGACCACUCCAAGAAUGUCAAUGUGACGCAUGGAUUUUUCAUGCGAGUGGUCGUGCUAAAUGGUUUCUGCGUUCCUGUUUAUAACAUCGAUAGGGAAUGAAAUAAAAAUAAUUGAUACUUCUCUGUUCGCAAGAAACAAAAGGAGAAAAAUUUGAGUUGUUUUUUUUUUGUCUACAGUACCGAUUAAUAUUUCAGUUAAGUGACUCAAGAAAAUAAUGAAGAAUUUAUGAGCCACACAAUAGUAUGUUGAAACCCGACUCUUAACAAACGUUUCGAGCCGUCGUUUCGCUCUCGACUGACUUUUUAAAUAAAAAAAAAUUUGUUUAACCUUGACACGUAUUCAAUACAUGCGACUUUUUAACGGUUGCCAUCGAUGCAAUAAUAAUCUAUCAAGUCGCGUCUUCUCUGAUAGCAAUCAUUCUUGUCAUUGAAAGCAAACGAACGUUGCGUACAUAGCAAUUAAAGUGCAUUUACGUUCUAUGCCCAGCGUACGUCGCGUAUAGUCUUCGGUGUUAUUACGUUAAAGAUACAGAGUUUCUAUCCAAGGGAAUCUAUUGUAUCCGAAGAAAUAUCGUAAGUAUUCACGAGGUCUGGCAACACGAAUACUGAGAUUACCUUCGAAAGGGCACCUCCCCUUCCAUUCAAAAGGAUUCUAUACAUUCCAUCGAGUUGUUCGCUGUCAAUUGUCUCUUUAUUGCAUCAAGCGUGUCUUCUUCUACGAGAAUUUUCUAUCGAUUUCAGAAGCAGCACCGUGUUCAUCGUGUUGUUCGUACAAAACUACUCGAAUUGAAUAGAAAUUUUGCAUCGUGUUAACACAAAUCAAUUCAAUUCUACACUGAGAAUUUAAAUCUGAGAAACACUAAGGUGUAAAAUAGGUACCGUUUAAAAAAUUACGCCCACGCAACAAGCAAUUCUCUGUUCGCAAGAAAGGAUUCACCUUUGAAAAUGUGAAAAUUAUGCGGCGCGAAGUACAAAAGGAUCGGGCGCUUCCCCUUUUGUUCUUGUACCUGCGCAGAAAACAGGGGAAGGAAGAUUUUUUGUCGGCGCGGCUAACUAUAUGCUUGCGCGACUGCCGCUUACCGAAUUGCCUGAGCAAACUACAAAAGCAUUAUUGUUCCGUGCAAUCCGCGCGUUUCGUUUCGCCAAGGGUGGAGAGUCUUGAAUCCGCGACGCCGAAAAAUUUCUCACGACUCCUUUCUUUUUUCUUCGCGGGAAGGAUACCGUUGACCCGGAGGGGGGAAACGUUAGUGUACCAACCUCCGAACUUGUUUAAAACGAGUUUCACGAUUGUGUCGUAUUCAGCCGCGCCUCGACCAAUCACGAGCGACCGCGACGCGAUUAGCAUACUCAUGCGGGUACCCAAAUUCGGCGAAGUGCACUCCGUAGUGCCGUCAAUUGCACUCGAUUAAGAGGAUCCUUAGUUCGACCUUGCCGGCUCCAUUGAGAGGGCACGAAAGAACGAGGCGAUGACUAAACUUAUCGAUGCCACGGCGGAUGUGGGAGCAAACGUUUCCGAUCGGGAUAAAAGGAACGUUUAACCUUCGACGUUUAACCCUGUCCACAGUCAGCGGGUCUCACUUACCUUUUAAAGACACCAGGUAUAUUAAAAAAAAAAAACUACCUACUUUUUUAGGUGUCAAGUAAUACUUUUAUUCGACGUUUUUCCGAAAGAUGUUCUCUGAACAGGAGGGGAGAAAUUCGGAGCCCAGAAUUAUUUAUUUAGUUGAAUUAAUUCGAAAGUUGCAUUUUUCAUUGGAUAUAGAAAUUAUUUAAAGAACUGGACAAAAUAAAUGUCUCGAAGAAGAAAUUUAAAUUUUCAUUUGAACUACUGCGAAUAAGUAUACAUAAUAAUAUCGUUAUAUAGAUUAGAAUUUUAGUUUAUGCAAAUCAAUUCGUUCCUGAAUAGAUAAAAAUUAUGCACUAAAAUAUACAUUGUCCAGUCCAUCGAUGUAUCAAUAAAAGAAAAUGUUUAGGUCAUUCUGCAUUUGAAAUUGUCAUUCACGCUAUCCACUGCGAGACGAAGGCUAAGACAACAUAUGAAACGCUAUUUCAAAGUCUGGAAUGCAUCACCGAUUCUAACACAAAUUUCGUUUCCAUCUGCGAACGUUCUCCAAAAUUUGUGUCAAGAAAACACUAAAAAGAAUUGUUUAUUCCUUCUAUAGGCAUCCGCCCCAUCUUUUACUCGAGUACUUAACCGUUAAAUUAAACAUUGCCUUUGCUAGUUUACGUGAAAAGAAAGAGAACUUUGAUCCUCGAGGCAACAAACAAUCUACCAGCCUCUAUCCAGAAGUAACGCGUA